Small nucleolar RNA from Jaculus jaculus (lesser Egyptian jerboa), 127 nucleotides. Lineage: Eukaryota; Metazoa; Chordata; Mammalia; Rodentia; Dipodidae. The record is from Ensembl.
AAGGCAGCCAGUUAGUCUGCUUAUCUGGAUGUGUUUCUGCAGAAAUGUAGAGAAAGCUGACAAUAGUGAUGCCAUGUUACGAGACUUAGGGACAAGGUCAUUAGGAUCCCUGAGAAUGGCUACAAUA